AUGAAAAUCAAUUAUUGCUUGCCUCAGCAAAUUCCAUUACCAGGCACAGAAAGCGAGCAUACAUGCAUGAUGGAUCUAGCGGGAGUGUACUGUAUAGUACAUAUAUGAUAACUUGAAACAGUAUAGUGUUUCUCUCAGAUUGUGUUUGCCAUGCAUUUUGGGUGUUUAUGCAUCCAACUGAUGCACAGGCUGGUAUUAUAUAGGUGGGUUUCACUAAGUGUUAUACAACAUGGGGAACACAACUUUACAUUCAUGUAUUGAAGAAUUAUACCCACAUUACAUUGGGGGCUUGUCGUAGUCGUAUUAGCGACUACAUGUAUGUACGUAACGGUAAAUCGCGUGCAUUGGCAACCAUAGAGAAAAUAACCGAAACACAAUUGCGUUUCUUUUCAGAGGUGUUUAAAGUGCAGAACUAAUCUCCUAUUGACAGAUAUCUUCAGGCAAAUUGUAUUAUUGCCAGCUAGUCUACAAUUACAAAUAGUACACCGUUAUUGUGACUUUGUCUUUGGCACUUUUAAAUAUGUAUGCGAUGAUAUUGUAAGUCGUUAGUAUUAUUACCUAUGUGCAAUCCAAUGGCAGUAUAAUUAUAGCCAGUAAAGCAGUUAUUAUUAGAGGCAAAUGAUUUUGACAGUUGAAAUAUUUCCACUUCAAUGUACAAUUGCCCUUAGCAUUGCCCUAUUCAUAUAUAUAAAGAAUAUUGCGGAUUUACGAGAUGUAUGAAUUCCUUUCUGGCUUGCGAGUUGUGACCUGAUGACUGACCGAGGUCUGCAAAACAUCAACUAAUAAACUGUAUACAUGCAUGAAGUCAUUCAGUCACAUUUUUUCCUGAGAAGAGCGUGGGGAACCCAUCUUCUCUUCGAAUCUUGCUACGAGAAAUAGUUGCGUAUGCGAGUAUAUUAGUAUAACUAUAGUCCCGUUCAGUCACACUCAAUAUUAACAACACCAAGUACUUGCCUAAGCAUGCAAAUUUAAAAGCGGCAGCCCGUAAGAUUCAGCAAUUUUUUCUUAUGCUUACGUCUCGAUAAUGAUAUUAAUGAGGCCAUAAGUCCGCCUUCGUUCCCAGAUGCAGGUCAACUAAAAUGACGUGUUUAUAUAUAUACGCCGUGUAUAUGAUAUGUGUAGGGUAAAACUAUUGCGCAAAUUGGUUAUAUGACACUCCAAAAGUGCGGGAUUUUCCCCAGCGAGAUUAAUGAAAAAUAACUGAGUAAUCUUAUUAUACAUAGCUCGUGAUGCGACGCAGAUGCAGUUUUUCGAGUUAUUCGACUCACAAGUCACAAUAGCACCAUAGUUCUUAGUAAAUACACAGCCAUGUGUGGCUUGAAUUUAAGGAAAGUAAGAUAAAGCUGUGUGUAAGCCAUGGUAUAUGUAUGGUGUAUAGUGUAACAAAAUAUACAUCUGCACAAAGAAAACAUUUAAUUUGCUACAGCAUAACCUUUCUAGUUGGGUUCUGGUGAGGUCGGUUUAUAUAUGAACAUCUCAAUCAUUUUAACUAGGAUAAACCGUCCUUAUAACUAGGAUAAACCGUCCUUGCAACUAGGAUAAUAAAACCGUCCUUAUAUUAUGACAAACCAUCCUCAUAUAACAAGAAAAACCACGUCUUU
Paramuricea clavata is the source of this 1601-nucleotide non-coding RNA. Lineage: Eukaryota; Metazoa; Cnidaria; Anthozoa; Malacalcyonacea; Plexauridae. The record is from the annotation of a GenBank genome assembly.